GCUUGUAGCUCAGUUGGUAGAGCACCCGCCUUUUAAGCGGGUUGUCGCAGGUUCGAACCCCGCCAAGCC
This 69-nucleotide transfer RNA is filed under the name bovine gut metagenome. It matches the Rfam family "tRNA". From Rfam's summary of the family: Transfer RNA (tRNA) molecules are approximately 80 nucleotides in length. Their secondary structure includes four short double-helical elements and three loops (D, anti-codon, and T loops). The record is from RNAcentral.